UACGUAGGGUGCAGGCGUUAAUCGGAAUUACUGGGCGUAAAGCGUGCGCAGGCGGCUUUGCAAGACAGAUGUGAAAUCCCCGGGCUCAACCUGGGAACUGCAUUUGUGACUGCAAGGCUAGAGUACGGUAGAGGGGGAUGGAAUUCCGCGUGUAGCAGUGAAAUGCGUAGAUAUGCGGAGGAACACCGAUGGCGAAGGCAAUCCCCUGGACCUGUACUGACGCUCAUGCACGAAAGCGUGGGGAGCAAACAGG
Molecule: ribosomal RNA, 253 nt
Filed under: uncultured bacterium
Lineage: Bacteria
Description: partial 16S ribosomal RNA
Rfam family: Bacterial small subunit ribosomal RNA
Source: RNAcentral